AAGGGUAUAGCUCAGUGGUAGAGUGUGUGCCUAGGAUGCACAAAUUCCUGGGUUCAAUCCCCAGUACCUCCA
RNAcentral lists this transfer RNA (72 nucleotides) under Camelus bactrianus (Bactrian camel). It matches the Rfam family "tRNA". Rfam says of the family: Transfer RNA (tRNA) molecules are approximately 80 nucleotides in length. The record is from Rfam by way of RNAcentral. RNAcentral also lists the same sequence under 2 other names. Lineage: Eukaryota; Metazoa; Chordata; Mammalia; Artiodactyla; Camelidae.